UUCCUUCAUAAAGAAAAAUGACGUUGCUUACUUGAAGGACUGAUGUACACUCUAGUUAUACCUUGCCAAACGAACUGAUAAAGUAAUUAAAGGUAUUCGUUUAUCAUGUUUAUUCUUUUCUUGAUCGACCUGCCCAUGCCAUAAUGCGUUCCUUGAUACACUCACUAGAUCAGCUUCAACCAUACUUAAAGAACUUAUAUAUAUAUAUGUGUGUGUGUGUGUUACAAACUAACCAUAUAUAUCUACUUGAUCAACUUAAACUUCAGUAGUUCUGUUCCAGAGUUUGUUCCAAGGGAUUUUCUGCAUCUUCAUUUCCCAAAUUCCCCUCCUUUUAAUCCAAUCAUCUGUAGAAGAAACCCUAUUCGAAACUAAGCCAUCCAGGUAUAUAAUUCACUGGCGCAAAUGUAGUUAGUUAAUUAUUGUCUCUCCCUGUGCAUCUCUUUAUGUUCUCUGUGUGUGUCAAAUGAAUCACAUUUCUUUCAAGCACAUUUUCCCCAUAUAUAUUUGCAAUAAUUCGUAGUCAACAUUCAGAACUUUGUGGUAUAAUUAAGGAAGCUUCCAAGCUAUGGCCGGCCGCGCUAAACAAAGAGACGGUGAAAGGUUGGUUCCCUCUCGAUCCUUUAACUAAUUAAAGUUCCUUGUUUCUGCCUUCUUAUCACUUAUGCAAUCAGCUGAAACUCUGCUGUAGUGAAGACUUGGGAAAGACUUUCGUCUUCUUCUAGCCUCCAAGCUCCUCCCUUUAUUUUGUCUAUUUUUUCUUAUUUAGAAAAUUACUGAAAACUGCUUUGCCACUUUACAUUAUUUAAUUAAUAUACAGGCAUUUCAUUUUUACUAGAUUUAGACCCUAGAUUGAUUGCCACACAGACUUCUUUCCAUUUGAGGGUUGGUGCCAAAUUUUACUAUGUCUAUAAUAUCCUUUUCCUAUAAUGCAGCUGCUUAAUUCAAUGUUUGUAAUGAGUUUUACUUGCUACAAGUGAGUUCCUAGCUUGAUGGCAGGAUUAGAACUAGGUGCUUUGAUGCAUGUAUCUCUCAGUCUAGCUUUUGGCCUCUUAUUAAUGCAAUUAUAUGUCUUUGCCUCUAAAAUAAUUAUCAAAUUUUUAAUUGUUAUGCCAUAAUGUCUUUUAGGAUUUAAGUCCUUCCUGACACUAAGACUCUUAUAUAUGUGAGUUGCAAUUCUUUAGUGAGGUACUUACUAUGUCCGGUAGUUUUUGUUGACCGUGCAUGUUUUCCUUGUGUUGCAUCCUGGUGCUUUAUGCUAAAAAAGGUGUGAUAGUUGCGUUCUUCUGUGGUGCUUCUGGCUGUUGUUGUGUCGGGAACUCGGGAUUACUAGUUUCUUUUUAA
RNAcentral lists this long non-coding RNA (1341 nucleotides) under Rosa chinensis. Its description in RNAcentral is "sRNA RchiOBHm_Chr3g0466661". Lineage: Eukaryota; Viridiplantae; Streptophyta; Magnoliopsida; Rosales; Rosaceae. The record is from RNAcentral.